CCUACGGGAGGCAGCAGUGGGGAAUAUUGCACAAUGGGCGAAAGCCUGAUGCAGCAACGCCGCGUGAAGGAAGAAGGGUUUCGGCUCGUAAAGCCCUAUCGGCAGGGAAGAAGAUGACGGUACCUGACCAAGAAGCCCCGGCUAACUACGUGCCAGCAGCCGCGGUAAUACGUAGGGGGCAAGCGUUAUCCGGAUUUACUGGGUGUAAAGGGGGCGCAGACGGCAAUGCAAGCCAGGAGUGAAAGCCCGGGGCCCCACCCCGGGACU
Molecule: ribosomal RNA, 267 nt
Filed under: uncultured bacterium
Lineage: Bacteria
Description: partial 16S ribosomal RNA
Rfam family: Bacterial small subunit ribosomal RNA
Source: RNAcentral